CGAGGGKAUUUAUCUUCGGWAGAGAGACCGGCGCACGGGUGCGUAACGCGUAUGCAAUCUACCUUUUACAGAGGGAUAGCCCAGAGAAAUUUGGAUUAAAUACCUCAUAGCAUUGCAGAAUGGCAUCAUUCAGCAAUUAAAGUCACAACGGUAAAAGAUGAGCAUGCGUCCCAUUAGCUAGUUGGUAGGUACGGCUACCAAGGCUCGAUGGGUAGGGGUCCUGAGAGGGAGAUCCCCCACACUGGUCUGAGACACGGACCAGACUCCUACGGGAGGCAGCAGUGAGGAAUAUUGGACAAUGGGCGCAAGCCUGAUCCAGCCAUGCCCGCGUGCAGGAUGACGGUCCUAUGGAUUUGUAACUGCUUUUAUACGAGAAGAAACACUACUUCGUGAAGUAGCUUGACGGUAUCGUAAGAAUAAGGAUCGG
This 427-nucleotide ribosomal RNA is filed under the name uncultured bacterium. RNAcentral's name for it is "bacterial SSU rRNA". It matches the Rfam family "Bacterial small subunit ribosomal RNA", at positions 63 to 496 of the family's 1533-position model. The record is from RNAcentral.